CCUACGGGAGGCAGCAGUGAGGAAUAUUGGUCAAUGGCCGGAAGGCUGAACCAGCCAAGCCGCGUGAAGGACGAAGGUGCCAAGCAUUGUAAACUUCUUUUGUCAAGGGACAAAAUCAGGCUCGAGAGCCUGACCGAGGGUACUUGAAGAAAAAGCAUCGGCUAACUCCGUGCCAGCAGCCGCGGUGAUACGGAGGAUGCGAGCGUUAUCCGGAUUUAUUGGGUUUAAAGGGUGCGUAGGCGGGCUGUUAAGUCAGCGGUAAAAGCCCGGGGCUCAACCCCGGCGAGCCGUUGAUACUGGCGGUCUUGAGAUGUCGAGAGGUAUGCGGAAUGCGCAGUGUAGCGGUGAAAUGCUUAGAUAUUGCGCAGAACUCCGAUUGCGAAGGCAGCAUACCGGCGGCGAUCUGACGCUGAGGCACGAAAGCGUGGGUAUCGAACAGGAUUAGAUACCCCAGUAGUC
Molecule: ribosomal RNA, 459 nt
Filed under: uncultured bacterium
Lineage: Bacteria
Description: partial 16S ribosomal RNA
Rfam family: Bacterial small subunit ribosomal RNA
Source: RNAcentral